CCUACGGGAGGCAGCAGUGGGGAAUUUUGGACAAUGGGCGCAAGCCUGAUCCAGCCAUGCCGCGUGUGGGAAGAAGGCCUUCGGGUUGUAAACCACUUUUGUCAGGGAAGAAACGGUCUGAACUAAUACUUUGGACUAAUGACGGUACCUGAAGAAUAAGCACCGGCUAACUACGUGCCAGCAGCCGCGGUAAUACGUAGGGUGCAAGCGUUAAUCGGAAUUACUGGGCGUAAAGCGUGCGCAGGCGGCUUUGCAAGACAGAUGUGAAAUCCCCGGGCUCAACCUGGGAACUGCAUUUGUGACUGCAUGGCUAGAGUACGGUAGAGGGGGAUGGAAUUCCGCGUGUAGCAGUGAAAUGCGUAGAUAUGCGGAGGAACACCGAUGGCGAAGGCAAUCCCCUGGACCUGUACUGACGCUCAUGCACGAAAGCGUGGGGAGCAAACAGGAUUAGAUACCCUGGUAGUCCACGCCCUAAACGAUGUCAACUGGUUGUUGGGAGGGUUUCUUCUCAGUAACGAAGCUAACGCGUGAAGUUGACCGCCUGGGGAGUACGGCCGCAAGGUUGAAACUCAAAUGAAUUGAGG
Molecule: ribosomal RNA, 584 nt
Filed under: uncultured bacterium
Lineage: Bacteria
Description: bacterial SSU rRNA
Rfam family: Bacterial small subunit ribosomal RNA
Source: RNAcentral